CCCAGCACACCACAGGGGACUCAGCACCCUCAGGAUGCUCUGCGGCUGCCCUUCGUUUCUGACCCAGGGGGACCCAUGGACCUCAGUGCGGGCUUUGCCAGCCUCUACGCCUAGAGGAUGCCUGGCCCCAAGGGCGUGCGGGGAUGAUGCUUUCUCCCACCAACAGCCACUAUGGAAGUGCUGAGCUGGUUAAGGAAGCGUUGACCUCUCCAGAACACAUCAUGGGGUGAACCAGAACGCUGGUGCAAAGGGCAAGGGAGGGUGAUGCGAGUCUGUGGCUCUUCUCAAAGCAGCCAAAACCAGCCAUCAUCUCCCUCUCGGUUAUUCAAUAAGCAGCUUGUUGGAUGAGCUUCCUUCCCCGCUGCCUGCUCUGUCCCACUGUCCAUCAGUCCAGGCUGCCGGGACAUCCCCCACGUGCAGGCAGGGUCCAGGCUGGAUGGAGCCGGGAUAACAACAAAGAUGCUCCCAUCGUGGCUGGGUCUCCCAUUGGGGCCCAUGGGCUGCUCUGGGGUCGGGCUGGGAGAAGUGCAAGCUGGACCAUCUUUCCUGCUCACCCACCAAUGCACCCUUCCCCACAGGUCCCAGGCAAGCCGGUUCCCGUCAGCACACUCAGUCUGUCGCUCGCCAAACCCACCUCAGCCACUGUGAAGGUUUUGUGUUCAAAAGGAGCCAGGGAGGAUGCAGCUGCUUUAAAUCUAUAUUGAGGCCUGCCGGGCACAGCCUGUUUCUUUACUCCACAUUGGUACAAAGCUCUGUGGAAUGGGGCUGGAACGUGCUGACCUGGGAAUAAAGGCCGUAGAAGAGGGAUCGAACCGGUUUGGGCUUCCCUGGGGAACAAUGCUCAGCCUCUCAGCAAGCCGUGGCCAUGAUGCGUUGCAGGGGGAAGACACAGAGAAUGUUCUGCGGACCAGGGCUUCCAAUAAGGCAAGCUGCAGUUCAGGGUGUACUCUGAAUUGCUUCAUCACCACUCCUAAUGGCUUAACCAACACAAUCCAUAUUCAUAAAUCAAAACAGGAGCAGGAGCGACCUCUGUUCAGCUCUGCUGCUGAGCCGUGGUGCAUCCAGAAAUAAGGGCAGAUUAUAUAUUGCAGGCAGCAGCUCUGUAUAUAUCUUCUGCGGCUGCCACGACUUGGCCUUCGUAUUAACUGAGCCUAAGGAGAGACGAUACAAUCAAAUCUGUCUGUUGGCGUCUGAAGGAUUAGCUGAGUCAACCAGGAAAAAGCUGAGCUAAUUUAUUAUGCUAUUUUCAGUUCCGAAAUGUACCGUGGAUGUAAUUUCACCCUCAAUUACAGAUCCCACCGUCCUACAGAACAUAAUUAUCAAAAACGUUCUUUUUUUGCUGCAUUUAGUGUUUGGAUUUGGGCAUCGCAGCGGCGUGGUGGCAGCUCCACAGCCAGGGCUCGCUGAUGAGAUCUGGGAAGUGGAACCAGCAGAGAGAUGGAAUGAAUGGAUUUGUUCUCUCCGGCCAAGGAAAAUGUGGUGCAGGGAGGAGAGUGUCACAGAUGUGUUGGCAGAAGGACACGGUGAACCAUGCAGGGCUGUCGGCAGCGCUGGGUUGGAUCAGCUGCAGCUUCUUCUGCCCCCCCUGAGGAUGGAUUAUCCCCCAUUUUCCACCCUGAACCCCACAAAGUGUCAUUGGAAAGCACAGCACAGAGCCUGGCUUUUUGCAGCUGCCCUUUGGGUAUCUUAGGCAUGCUGGGGAGGGACUCUUCAUCAGGGACUAGUGAUAGGACAAAGGGGAAUGGGUUCAAACUUAA
Molecule: long non-coding RNA, 1757 nt
Organism: Strigops habroptila (Kakapo)
Lineage: Eukaryota; Metazoa; Chordata; Aves; Psittaciformes; Psittacidae
Exons: 3
Source: RefSeq, a predicted model, not a curated record